GAUGAACGCUGGCGGCGUGCCUAAUACAUGCAAGUCGAGCGAACAGACGAGGAGCUUGCUCCUCUGACGUUAGCGGCGGACGGGUGAGUAACACGUGGAUAACCUACCUAUAAUACUGGGAUAACUUCGGGAAACCGGAGCUAAUACCGGAUCAUAUAUUGAACGGCAUGGUUCAAUAGUGAAUGACGGCUUUGCUGUUACAUAUAGAUGGAUCCGUGCCGGAUUAGCUAGUUGGUAAGGUAACGGCUUACCAAGGCGACGAUGCGUAGCCGACCUGAGAGGAUGAUCGGCCACACUGGAACUGAGACACGGUCCAGACUCCUACGGGAGGCAGCAGUAGGGAAUCUUCCGCAAUGGGCGAAAGCCUGACGCAGCAACACCGCGUGAGUGAUGAAGGUCUUCGGAUCGUAAAACUCUGUUGUUAGGGAAGAACAACAGUGUAAGUAACUAUGCACGUCCUGACGGUACCUAAUCAGAAAGCCACGGCUAACUACGUG
Molecule: ribosomal RNA, 497 nt
Filed under: uncultured bacterium
Lineage: Bacteria
Description: partial 16S ribosomal RNA
Rfam family: Bacterial small subunit ribosomal RNA
Source: RNAcentral